UACGUAGGGCGCAAGCGUUAUCCGGAAUUAUUGGGCGUAAAGAGCUCGUAGGCGGUCUGUCGCGUCGGCUGUGAAAUCCCGAGGCUCAACCUCGGGUCUGCAGUCGAUACGGGCAAACUAGAGUAUUGCAGGGGAGACUGGAAUUCCUGGUGUAGCGGUGAAAUGCGCAGAUAUCAGGAGGAACACCGGUGGCGAAGGCGGGUCUCUGGGCAAUAACUGACGCUGAGGAGCGAAAGCGUGGGGAGCGAACAGG
Molecule: ribosomal RNA, 253 nt
Filed under: uncultured bacterium
Lineage: Bacteria
Description: partial 16S ribosomal RNA
Rfam family: Bacterial small subunit ribosomal RNA
Source: RNAcentral